GGCCAGACUCCUACGGGAGGCAGCAGUGGGGGAUAUUGCACAAUGGGGGGAACCCUGAUGCAGCGACGCCGCGUGGGUGAAGGAGCGUUUCGGCGCGUAAAGCCCUAUCGGCAGGGAAGAGGGAGGACGGUACCUGACUAAGAAGCCCCGGCUAACUACGUGCCAGCAGCCGCGGUAAUACGUAGGGGGCAAGCGUUAUCCGGAUUUACUGGGUGUAAAGGGCGUGUAGGCGGGACUGCAAGUCAGAUGUGAAAAUUAUGGGCUCAACCCAUAACCUGCAUUUGAAACUGUGUUUCUUGAGUACUGGAGAGGCAGACGGAAUUCCUAGUGUAGCGGUGAAAUGCGUAGAUAUUAGGAGGAACACCAGUGGCGAAGGCGGUCUGCUGGACAGCAACUGACGCUGAGGCGCGAAAGCGUGGGGAGCAAACAGGAUUAGAUACCCCAGUA
RNAcentral lists this ribosomal RNA (447 nucleotides) under uncultured bacterium. RNAcentral's name for it is "partial 16S ribosomal RNA". It matches the Rfam family "Bacterial small subunit ribosomal RNA", at positions 329 to 792 of the family's 1533-position model. The record is from RNAcentral.